This 188-nucleotide unclassified non-coding RNA is filed under the name Glomeromycota sp. Its description in RNAcentral is "partial contains 5.8S ribosomal RNA and internal transcribed spacer 2". The stretch from base 1 to 65 matches the Rfam family "5.8S ribosomal RNA", at positions 84 to 154 of the family's 154-position model. The record is from RNAcentral. Lineage: Eukaryota; Fungi; Glomeromycota.
GUGAAUCAUCAAAUCUUUGAACGCACAUUGCACCCUCUUCGGAGCGUAUGCCUGUUUGAGGGUCAGCCUAAAAAAAUCGACAUCGUUGCUGUUUCACAGUGGCGUUCGCCGGAAAUUGGGUUAUCUUAAUUCUUUGUUUUAAGCGACUUAAAAUUUCCUUUACAAUUCCAUGAAUGUUUCUAAGUUUU